This 253-nucleotide ribosomal RNA is filed under the name uncultured bacterium. Its description in RNAcentral is "partial 16S ribosomal RNA". It matches the Rfam family "Bacterial small subunit ribosomal RNA", at positions 524 to 776 of the family's 1533-position model. The record is from RNAcentral.
UACGGAGGGGGUUAGCGUUGUUCGGAAUGACUGGGCGUAAAGCGCGCGUAGGCGGAUCAUCAAGUCGGGGGUGAAAUCCCGGGGCUCAACCCCGGAAUGGCCUUCGAGACUGGUGGUCUUGAGUUCGAGAGAGGUGAGUGGAAUUCCGAGUGUAGAGGUGAGAUUCGUAGAUAUUCGGAGGAACACCAGUGGCGAAGGCGGCUCACUGGCUCGACACUGACGCUGAGGUGCGAAAGCGUGGGGAGCAAACAGG